GGGCCGAUGGGACGGCUCGUACCUUCGUACUGCACCUCGGGGUGUGUCGUGCCCAGUGCUGCCAGCAGCGGCGCCACUCCAGCCGGCGGAGGCUCUUCCAGCAGGUCCUGGGGGACAAGGGCGGGUUGAGGAGGCAGGUGGUUCAGCCCUAGUAUUUCCAGGAGCAUCAAGACGCCUCCCAUCUCCAGAAAUUCAAUAAUGUAUCUGCGGCUGCACGGAUGGAGGGACAAAGCCAAAAACGUCACCUGCUUUGGAGCACAUCUUCCCGAGUGAGCACACCUGACUGUAGCAGCACGAUGGCACCUGGACACUGAACACGAGGCACCUGAGGCUCAGCUAGGACAGCUUUACUGCCACUAUGUCACCACCUACAGCUUUACCCCGUGCUCAUUUCAGAUGCUAAACCACAGGCACAGAAAAUCCCAUCUCUGCGCUCAGGCUUCCAGCAUGCUCUUUCCACACCGUGCCAAUGACCCAGUGGUUCUGGAGGAGGACAAGCUGUGGAUUUGGAUUCGAGAGCUUCUUAUUAUAGGAAGCCACAACCCCAUUGCCUGCACACACCUUCCCCACAGCAGCUCUCAGGCAGUGACAUUCUGUACUCACCCACUUGCAGCAGAUAAGAAGAUGCCGAUGGACUUGAGCAGCUUGUUGAUGCAUGUGCUGUACAUGUAGCUGUUUGAUAAGGCUAAGGAGAGAAUUACAGACUGUCUCAGUGUUCCCCGGGCAAGUCUGGCAACGUGGAGGUCUGAACCUGGUUACUUUCUUUGUUAGAGGGAGCACUGACCUUCCUCUCAAAGGCAUGCAGGGGUUCCUGGUUCUAGGUUCCUAAUCCUAGGUCCCUGAGAGACAGGCUGUGUGACUUUCCCUUCAGUUCUAUCUUGAGAUAGCUGUUGUUUUUUUUCCCCCCUCCGUGCAGCUGGAUCUUUAUACAAAAGCUUAUUCUUCAUACAGUAUUUUUUUUGGUAGAGAACUUUCCCUUCCUCUCCAUCCCACUACCAUGUGCCACCUUUGGCUUUCCAAGCAAACAGAUACGUCACCCUCAGCCAUGCUGCCAGGCGAGCCAGAAACAAGCUGGCUCCCUGGGAGAACUCCAGCUCCAGCUCUGGUUCUGUCUUGCCAAUAUUGCUUCUAAUGAAGUUGUCCAGGAUGUGGUUUCGAGCAACUCUGUGAGCACUGUCCCAUUCUUGCAGGAAAACCAUGAGCUUCUUGAUGGCCUCCUGCUCUUUGACAGAUGUCAUGAUCUCUUCUGCCUAGAGAAAAGUGAGACAAAUGUUUAAUAAAGGUCUUAAAGGUAGGGAAAAAAAUCUGUAUUAAGGAACUACCAUCAUAUUGAAGAUCUCUGGAAAAUAUUAGUAUUAAAACAUUUACUAGCCAUUAAUUAUAUCUCAUUUUCCUUUAUACUCAUACGUUAUCUUCUCUGCUGUGUUAGCACAGUCAUUUCGAUGUUACUCAUUCUCCCCUCUUUGGUUUCUUGCUAGACUCACAACAAGAACACUACCUCCCAUAUCUGACCUACCCAAGAGUAAGCAGGGUGACAUGAGGGCAUAGGUGUGGAUUUACAGGGAGCGACAGGGUCAAUGGUCAAUGCCUGGUAGUGCAGCAUGCUCUCCUGUGGGUGCACUGAGCUGUUUGAAAUCCACUCCAGCAGGACAUGCUUGGCCUUGGCAAAGGGAGAGUGCCUGGGGACCUUUGGCACGGAGGACUUUAGCUCUGUUUUGUUGUUGUCUAAUUUCUCUGGGCUUAUUCUGAGCUUUCAGUGGUGCAUCCUGAAAAAGCUACGGAUAUCUGAAAUAAUAAGAACUUCAUGGAAGGAGGCAGGAGAUCCAGAAACACCCCUUGUCCGCACCGCCUUCAAUCCCAUAAAGCAACCCGCACUUUACCAAAUCACUCUGCCACGCUUUUAUUUCAGUAUGAAAUCCCCCCAACCCACCCUGACAAACGUGAGAGUGCACUCAGCGGGGGGUGACGUCCCCAUGACACGCACCAAAACUAACCUCCUACUGCUGUUACCUGAAGCUGCCUGAAAACAGUAACCGGGAGCUGGAAAUGCAUCUUGGCGAUGGGAAACAAACCAACAAAGGCUUCAGAAAGUUGGCUAAGAGGACCGAGAACUGCGAUGAGAUGAAAUUUCAUGUGGGAAUUAACGGCCUGUGCUCUGCAAAGAGCCCGUGCCCUUGGCAGGGCGUUCUCAGGAUCUCCUUUGUGGGGAAGCAGGUUGCAAAUAAAUCCAUUCUCCCAAAAUA
Molecule: long non-coding RNA, 2243 nt
Organism: Gallus gallus (chicken)
Lineage: Eukaryota; Metazoa; Chordata; Aves; Galliformes; Phasianidae
Exons: 2
Source: RefSeq, a predicted model, not a curated record